RNAcentral lists this ribosomal RNA (723 nucleotides) under Triticum aestivum (bread wheat). RNAcentral's name for it is "partial small subunit ribosomal RNA". The record is from RNAcentral. Lineage: Eukaryota; Viridiplantae; Streptophyta; Magnoliopsida; Poales; Poaceae.
AUGUCAGUUUCGUUAUUACAACCUUAUUUUUUUAUGUCAAAGACAAAAAGCUACGCGCAAAUUCUCAUUGGAUCUCGGUUGUUCUUAACAGCGAUGGCUAUUCAUUUAAGUCUUCGGGUAGCACCACCAGAUCUUCAACAAGGUGGAAAUUCUCGUAUUUCGUAUGUACAUGUUCCUGCGGCUCGGAUGAGUAUAGUUAUUUAUAUCGCGACAGCUAUAAACAGUUCCUUGUUCCCAUUAACAAAACAUCCUCUUUUUCUUCGCUCUCCCGGAACCGGUACAGAAAUUGGUGCUUUUUCUACUUUGUUUACGUUAGUGACUGGGGGGUUUCAAGGAAGGCCUAUGUGGGGUACCUUUCGGGUGUGGGAUGCUCGUUUAACUUCUGUAUUCAUCUUGUUCCUUAUUUACCUGGGUGCACUGCGUUUUCAAAAGCUUCCUGUCGAACCGGCUCCUAUUUCAAUCCGUGCUGGACCGAUCGAUAUACCAAUAAUAAAGUCUCCAGUCAACUGGUGGAAUACAUCGCAUCAACCUGGGAGCAUUAGCCGAUCUGGUACAUCAAUACAUGUUCCUAUGCCCAUUCCAAUCUUGUCUAACUUUGCUAACUUCCCCUUCUCUACCCGUAUCUUGUUCGUUCUGGAAACACGUCUUCCUAUUCCAUCUUUUCCCGAAUCUCCCUUAACGGAAGAAAUAGAAGCUCGAGAAGGAAUACCACUAAAAACCUAG